GUAACAAUUUUUAAAUGUACUUUAAAUAUAUAAAGCUUACACCAGGAUUUGAAAACUCCUUCCUCUGUAUGGUUUAUUUUAAAGCAGUGAUACAGAAUCUUAUCAUAGUUUUCCACGGCACUGUUUUUGUGAUCAGUCACGUACGUAGAUUAACUGUAUACCAACAUGCAUGAUUCUGAAAUUCAUGAAGAAGUGCCACAUGUUUACUUGCAUCAGUAAAAAUUGAAACAAUGAGGGUGUUGUCAAGGGGCAGUUGAUUUCCCUCCGAAUCUUCUCACUGUCUGGGGUUUUGACCGUCACUUCAUGGCAGGAUUUCAAUAGAUACAUACAUUUAGGCCCUUCUUCAUGACUAACACCAUCAUGAUUGGCCCGCCUAUUUAUAGUGUACCUCAUGCCUUUUAGAAUCACCCCCUCCCCCCUGUUGUUUACAUUUCUUGUUCUCUCUGCACACAGAUAUAUGCACAACUCUCCAGCAUUGCUUAUUGCUGUAACUUGAUCGUAAAUUGGCAUUGUGUGAAAAUUGCAAGAUUGAUACAUCAUUAACAUGUAAUUGCUCAUGAUUUCUUUGGGCAAUGCAGCCCUAGUUUUUAAAUGUAAAUACCUUUUUCACUGUGUGUAAAAUCAUGACAGCUUUGCAGGCUCCUCUAAAACUGAUAUGCAAUAGGUACAGUAGGUAAUGGAGUACACACAUUUACAAAUACAUUUUUUUUUUAGCUUUCAGAAGAUCAAGAUAGUUUGAGAAGUUGUUUCAUCUGAAUGGCAUUUGAUGUUAAUUUGGGGUUAUGAAGAAUUUAUGGACAUCAAAGUCUGAAAUUCUGAAUCCUAUGCUGAUGUUUAAGCACCCUGAGAGCUUUUUCGAGCAAUCUUCCUUGUCAUCUUUAUCCUGUAACAGAAGAAGGAUGUAUGGAAAGAUGCAUAAAUAUUUAUUGAUGAACCACUGCACGCCCAUUCUGUGGAAAAAAAAUUGAAGUCUUUAGUCUUUACAUAUCGUAAUCAAUCUAAGAAUAAAUGUAGUAACCAAAGUUCUUUUGAAAGUCUUCUAUAUUAAUGUCUGUCUAGUGUGCUAGCUGUGGCUGUAAAUAAAGAAAUUUCCUGUAUGUGAUUGUGAAGCACGGAUUUGGUUGAAAAAUCUCAUCGCAUCUCUACAUGUAUGUAUACGUGUAUUUAUCCAGCUGGGCCAUAUAAGUACACUAUUGAGUGUUUUGCCCCUAGACAUUUGAGAGUAGACUAGAUGCUAUACAUGCUUAAUCACAGCAGAGAUUGAUGGAAAGGUAGUUGAGAAUGUAUACGACCACUGUCCACUGACUUACCCCUUAUUUGGACUCUUAAAUUGCUGUGCAAUGCUACAUGUAUUGGAGAUACUGCUUAUGAUUACAUGUAUCAUCAACUUAUAAAAUUGUUAAUGUUGUUAAAAGAAUUAGAAAAUGUUAGACUACCAUUUUUGUAUUAUUCUAAGAGGCUUCUGUUUGUCAAUUAAAAUACAAAUUUAUUCGGUUGAUAUUGCCUAACAACUUUCACAUCUGGGGGUACUUAACAUAUACGUAUUCAAUUUUAUAUCUUAGUUCUAGUACUAAGUUAUUUCUUCUUACCCAAAUUAUCACAUGAGUUAUCCGAUUUUGUUAAAUAUAAAUGUAUUAAAAAAAAUGUUUAAACAGUAAGUAUAGUUGACUAAAAAUAUAUUAGAACUAUGAAUGUAUGAUGGCACAUCAGACAGGUUUACUGAUCAAUAUCCUUCUAUAGUCGUAGUUUCAAGAAGAGCAGUAUUUGUAUAGAAUAUUGACCAAAAUUCCACUCUUAGUAAUUUAUUUUCAAAGAUACUAUCAUUCUGUAUUGAUUGACAACAGGAGGAAAUACCAUUUCUAACCUUUCUAAACUUAAUGAUCGCAGAUAAUUUCAAAUCAUACUUCAAAGAGUCCACGAUGUACCUCGAAAAUAAAAAGGCAGAUUUGUUUAAUUUUUUACAGAAAAUAAGAGAGGAACAGAGAAACAGGUAUAUGUUAAGGUAGUAUUAUAAUUGUCGUUGUUAUUAUUUUCAAACUUCUAGUUUGUAAUCUUCAUAAAGGCCUAGCUGAAAAAUGAAAAUCUUUUAGUGCAAUUAUUCACAUUGAAUGAUACAGCAGUUGCUUUAUUUUAUGAACAUAUACAUGUAUUUGUUUCUAAUUCUGCAUGAUUGAAUUUAUGUUAAUAUCUAUUUUUUUAAUGUUAUUUUUGCAGGGAGAUUGUGUUUCCUUUGUUACAAGAUAGCUCAAAGCAGACAGUUACAAUUAUUCGUUUGACAUUUCUUUUAAACCUCCAUGGUGAAUAUUUCCAGUGUUUACAAGAAACAGUUGAAGGUUUUUGAACAUGUAUGAAAGUGGUCAUGUGAUCUGCCAGAGAUUAUGGCCAAGUUCAACUCCUGGAGAGUUCCCCAAUUGAUUAGCCAGUUCAGCAGUUUAACAAUUAUAUUGAUUCAUGUAAUCCUACCUAAAACUGAUUUUCAGUGUAAAUUUAUCUGCUCCAUUGACUCCAAAAUUAUGAAUAUUCAGAGAUAUGUAUUUGCAUAUUCAUAUUACAAUAUGCAGUCCACAUUUGAAUAAUAGUUAAAGGAAAGAUAUCACCAAUGAUACGUCUUUUAUCCAUCAAUUUCAUCCAACAUCAAAAUCUCUUGAUUUGACAUAUGAAUAAUUGAGAUAUCACCACCAUUAGAAAUGAUCUAAUCAAAGAGGUUUUUUGAAUGAAUAAAUGGAUAGAUAUAUGCUAUACUGUACAAAUUUCCCCCUUCUUCUUCUAACUGAAAUGUUAAUGUGAGUUUUGACAAUGCUGACUGCUGAAAAAACACGUGGUUGAUGUAUCAUAAAGUAAAAAGUGUGUCAGUAUGAAUGUAGGCUUGAUGAGUAUGCAAUAUUUGUUACAGUCGUGUAUAAAACCCUUUGAUAUUUUUAUUUAUACAUUAGCAGUGGAAUCAAAUAAAUGUAUAUCAUAUGAACAUGAUAUGAAUUAA
Strongylocentrotus purpuratus (purple sea urchin) is the source of this 2980-nucleotide long non-coding RNA. RefSeq lists it as uncharacterized. The transcript has 2 exons. Lineage: Eukaryota; Metazoa; Echinodermata; Echinoidea; Camarodonta; Strongylocentrotidae. The record is from RefSeq and is a predicted model, not a curated record.